CAGCCGAGUGGCGCGAUUGAGAGCGAGAGUGAAGACCUAAGUUGCCGGGUAGUGUUUUUUUCCCUCUUGUCUUUGUUUUCAUUCUUUUUCUUCUCGCACUAGAAGAAGUUUCCUGGAUCCAGAGUUCAGACUCUUAAGAAAUUCAACAAGAAAAAAUACUCUUGAUUCUAUCGAUUCUUGCUUGAAUCGAGAGCCAAACCUCUGAAUUUUAGCGAUAUCCCUUUUGAUUCAAGGAAACAUUCGAUAGAAUCUAGAGUAUUUUUUCUUGUCAAAAGUCUGAACUCAAUCAGGAGAAACUUUUUUCCAAUGGCGGUAAUGGGUCUCUCUAUUUAUUGCUAUUCCAAAUGCUUAUUUUUUUUCUUUUUUUGUUGCUACAAAAACUGUUCUCAAUUGUGAACUAAGGGCAAACCCUUGACUGGGGUCUCCCGUCACACUGUACCUUAAAAGGGUUAAAUUAAAUGUUUAAAAAAAUCGAUAAGUAAGUGAUACCAUGGUUACAUACAAUGAAAAUAUUAUUAAAUUAACAAAGUUAACUUGCAUACUUAGACCAUAAACAUUGGAAAAUGAAAAAUGACUCUCUCUCCCCAUAAACUUCUGUAAAUAUACCCAGGACAAGCGUCAGUCUGGCUCCAAAUUUCUUCGGGUACUGAUACGCUUUCAGGGCCACUUCUCUCGGAUGAAACCCCCCAAAACUAUAACCUUAAGUCCUCUCGUUACGUGGAUCUUUCAAAAUUUGUGGGGCCCUUACAGGAGUCCUGUCGAGGCCCCAGAGUCACCAUCAGAAUUUCUGGGAUGCUAAAGCAUCCUAGCACCCCUGGCCAGACCCCCCUGCCCAGGACUCACCUGAAAAUGGACUUGUUCCCGUUCGGAGACACCUGAUCUAUUUGGGAAGAAGACUUACGAUCUUAGCAGCACCUGAUAGCGACCUGAUGUGUCCAAUUCGACUAGGUUUUAUCGCGUUUUCCCAACAGCGUGCAUGCAUGAAAAGCCUCUCGGGAACCAUGUGUUUCGCCGCCCCUACGAGAGCGGUCCAUUAUCCACCAGACACGACGCGAGCACCCGCGCCUCCUCCGCUCCUCUCGUGGAGCGAAGCGCCCGGUCCGGUCGUUUUCAAGAGCGCCGUGGGAUCUCGGAGGCUUUACCUUGGAACUGACCUAUGCGGUGGCUCCGGGCCGCGGUUAUCGAGGCGGGCGAUCGCGGAUAACGAAGCCCGAGCCGGCAACGCGGCGCGAGGCUGGGGCGUCCACCCGCUAUCCCUCGCCCUCGCCCUCUCCGCGUCGCCGUCGCAGCCUCAAUCGGCACCAGUGUCGAGUCCGCGUCUGACGUAUCCACCUCUUCCGUCCGCUCGCCCGUUCUCCCGCGCUCCGGCUUCGGACCACAGUGCUCCCAUCCGCGGAUCACCGCUUCCUCAACAGUUUGCAAAGAGUGGUUGAUUCAUGAAGAUGGUGCUCUUGCCUAUAAACUACAGAAAGAAGAAGUGGAACAGCAUUACUCUGGAAAAAACAACGGAAUGCACAAGUUCGCGAAGAUUUUCCACGGGCAAAAGAUGAGCAGCUUAGGGAGGAAAUCGAAGCCCGCCUCAAAUACCAGCAGCUCAUCUCUCAACA
RNAcentral lists this long non-coding RNA (1607 nucleotides) under Bemisia tabaci. Its description in RNAcentral is "lncRNA ENSSSA2NGG011288". Lineage: Eukaryota; Metazoa; Arthropoda; Insecta; Hemiptera; Aleyrodidae. The record is from RNAcentral.